UACGGAGGGUGCAAGCGUUAUCCGGAUUUACUGGGUUUAAAGGGUGUGUAGGCGGACUUUUAAGUCAGGGGUGAAAUCCCGAGGCUCAACCUCGGAACUGCCUUUGAUACUAUUGGUCUUGAAUGUUGUUGAGGUGGGCGGAACGGGUCAUGUAGCGGUGAAAUGCAUAGAUAUCUGGAGGAAUACCGGUGGCGAAGGCGGCAUCCUGGACCGGCAUUGACGCUGAGGAGCGAAAGCCAGGGGAGCAAACGGG
This 253-nucleotide ribosomal RNA is filed under the name uncultured bacterium. RNAcentral's name for it is "partial 16S ribosomal RNA". It matches the Rfam family "Bacterial small subunit ribosomal RNA", at positions 524 to 776 of the family's 1533-position model. The record is from RNAcentral.